CCCCAUCAGAUUCCUUACCCAUCAGAUGUAAACAUUGGUCUGAAUGGCUCUAAAGGAGGAAAAGUAAAACUGAAAUGGACUUGGAUUCUUUUGUGACAUACAAGUUUGUUUCAAACAAAC
RNAcentral lists this small nucleolar RNA (120 nucleotides) under Echinops telfairi (small Madagascar hedgehog). Its description in RNAcentral is "Small nucleolar RNA SNORA61 (ENSETEG00000024349.1)". Lineage: Eukaryota; Metazoa; Chordata; Mammalia; Afrosoricida; Tenrecidae. The record is from RNAcentral.